Molecule: non-coding RNA, 100 nt
Organism: Mycena leptocephala
Lineage: Eukaryota; Fungi; Basidiomycota; Agaricomycetes; Agaricales; Mycenaceae
Source: the annotation of a GenBank genome assembly
GGCCUGAUAGCACAGUGGUUAAUGUGCCUGCUUCUUAUCCAUUGAGCGAGCUUCAAAAACAUGUAGGCACGAGACCCUCGUUCGAAUCGGGGUCAGGCCA